This 424-nucleotide ribosomal RNA is filed under the name uncultured Lactobacillus sp. RNAcentral's name for it is "bacterial SSU rRNA". It matches the Rfam family "Bacterial small subunit ribosomal RNA", at positions 358 to 774 of the family's 1533-position model. The record is from RNAcentral. Lineage: Bacteria; Bacillati; Bacillota; Bacilli; Lactobacillales; Lactobacillaceae.
GGAAUCUUCGGCAAUGGGGGCAACCCUGACCGAGCAACGCCGCGUGAGUGAAGAAGGUUUUCGGAUCGUAAAACUCUGUUGUUAAAGAAGAACAUAUCUGAGAGUAACUGUUCAGGUAUUGACGGUAUUUAACCAGAAAGCCACGGCUAACUACGUGCCAGCAGCCGCGGUAAUACGUAGGUGGCAAGCGUUGUCCGGAUUUAUUGGGCGUAAAGCGAGCGCAGGCGGUUUUUUAAGUCUGAUGUGAAAGCCUUCGGCUCAAACGAAGAAGUGCAUCGGAAACUGGGAAACUUGAGUGCAGAAGAGGACAGUGGAACUCCAUGUGUAGCGGUGAAAUGCGUAGAUAUAUGGAAGAACACCAGUGGCGAAGGCGGCUGUCUGGUCUGUAACUGACGCUGAGGCUCGAAAGUAUGGGUAGCAAACA